This 252-nucleotide ribosomal RNA is filed under the name uncultured bacterium. Its description in RNAcentral is "partial 16S ribosomal RNA". It matches the Rfam family "Bacterial small subunit ribosomal RNA", at positions 524 to 776 of the family's 1533-position model. The record is from RNAcentral.
UACGAAGGGGGCAAGCGUUGUUCGGAAUAACUGGGCGUAAAGGGUGCGUAGGCUGCUAUGUAAGUAAGUUGUUAAAUCUCUGUGCUCAACACAGAACUGCAUCUUAUACUGCAUAGCUCGAGCAUGGUAGAGGAAAUAGGAAUUCCUAGUGUAGAGGUGAAAUUCAUAGAUAUUAGGAGGAACACCAAAUGCGAAGGCAAAUUUCUGGGCCAUAGCUGACGCUGAGGCACGAAAGUGUGGGGAGCGAACAGG